RNAcentral lists this ribosomal RNA (504 nucleotides) under uncultured bacterium. Its description in RNAcentral is "bacterial SSU rRNA". It matches the Rfam family "Bacterial small subunit ribosomal RNA", at positions 24 to 518 of the family's 1533-position model. The record is from RNAcentral.
UCAGGAUGAACGCUAGCUACAGGCUUAACACAUGCAAGUCGAGGGGCAGCAUUGGGAUAGCUUGCUAUUCCAGAUGGCGACCGGCGCACGGGUGAGUAACGCGUAUCCAACCGUUCCCUAUAGUAGAGAAUAGCCCGGCGAAAGUCGGAUUAAUGCUCUAUGUUGUGUUUUGAGGACAUCUGACGAACACCAAAGGUUCACCGCUAUAGGAUGGGGAUGCGUCUGAUUAGCUUGUUGGCGGGUAACGGCCACCAAGGCGACGAUCAGUAGGGGUUCUGAGAGGAAGGUCCCCACAUUGGUACUGAGACACGGACCAAACUCCUACGGGAGGCAGCAGUGAGGAAUAUUGGUCAAUGGGCGAGGGCCUGAACCAGCCAAGUAGCGUGCAAGGAUGACUGCCCUAUGGGUUGUAAACUGCUUUUAUCAGGGAAUAAAGUGCGGCACGUGUGCCGUUUUGUAUGUACCUGACGAAUAAGGACCGGCUAAUUCCGUGCCAGCCGCCGC